GUGUACAUGGGUGCUAGUGGUGUAGUGGUGUAGUGGUGUACAUGGCUUCUACCAACUAACAGUGCAUCAAUUACAUGGUGCAUGUGGGUGCUAGUGGGGGUGUUAGUGGUGUGCGUGUGUAGUGGGGGUGUACACAUCAAUCAGUUCACACCAAAACUACGAACAAGGAGGGUGGUGAAGAUUUUAGGUCCGUGCCCGGCCCGCCUCGUUAGUUAAACGAGAGAGAGAGAGAGAGAGAGAGAGAGAGAGAGAGAGAGAGAGAGAACAACUAGUAGUGCUUUGAGGAAAAAACCUGCUAAGA
This 301-nucleotide long non-coding RNA is filed under the name Actinidia chinensis (golden kiwifruit). Its description in RNAcentral is "long non-coding RNA (ACHI_LNC000546)". The record is from RNAcentral. Lineage: Eukaryota; Viridiplantae; Streptophyta; Magnoliopsida; Ericales; Actinidiaceae.